GAUGAACGCUGGCGGCGUGCCUAAUACAUGCAAGUCGAGCGAACAGACGAUGAGCUUGCUCCUCUGACGUUAGCGGCGGACGGGUGAGUAACACGUGGAUAACCUACCUAUAUGACUGGGAUAAUUUCGGGAAACAGGAGCUAAUACCGGAUAAUAUAUUGAACCGCAUGGUUCAAUAGUGAAAGACGGCUUUGCUGUCACUUAUAGAUGGAUCCGCGCCGCAUUAGCUAGUUGGUAAGGUAACGGCUUACCAAGGCAACGAUGCGUAGCCGACCUGAGAGGGUGAUCGGCCACACUGGAACUGAGACACGGUCCAGACUCCUACGGGAGGCAGCAGUAGGGAAUCUUCCGCAAUGGGCGAAAGCCUGACGGAGCAACGCCGCGUGAGUGAUGAAGGUCUUCGGAUCGUAAAACUCUGUUAUUAGGGAAGAACAAAUGUGUAAGUAACUAUGCACGUCUUGACGGUACCUAAUCAGAAAGCCACGGCUAACUACGUG
RNAcentral lists this ribosomal RNA (497 nucleotides) under uncultured bacterium. Its description in RNAcentral is "partial 16S ribosomal RNA". It matches the Rfam family "Bacterial small subunit ribosomal RNA", at positions 28 to 507 of the family's 1533-position model. The record is from RNAcentral.